AUUCUCACUGUGUUACCUAGGCUGCAGUGCAGUGGUGCGAUCUCAACUCACUGCAACCUCUACCUCCUGGGUUCAAGCAAUUCUCCUGCCUCAGCCUCCCAAGUAGCUGGGAUUACAGGUGAGGAGACUGGUGUUAAGUAACUCGCCCAUCCAUGACCGCAUCAGUGGUUGAAAUGGGAUUGGAAUCUGGUCUUAAUCACUCUUCCAUAAUGCCUCCAUGGCAAGGGUGGCAGAGAGGAAGAAUUAUGCUGAGGAAGUAGAACUGACUAGAAGUCAUGAACAAUGCUUGGUGAUUAGAUUCUAGAAUGGACGAAUAAGGCUCUGCUUUGCUCCCAAGCUUCUGUGUCAGUAAUGGCUUCAUUCAUCUACACAGGGAACAGAGGAUGGAGAGGUGAUGUCUUCAGGCUAGGGCAUGUACAGGGUGACCAAAUCUGACCUUGUAUUGUGCAAACUCAGGACUUUCGUAGAGGAAAGGAGUCACCAUCCAGAGGGAUGCCAGAUAAAAAUGUACAAUGGGACUAAGCCAGGCAAACAGUGGCACAUGUUCACGUUAGACAUGUGGAAUCUGAUAUUUCUGUAAGAAAUACAGAAGAACAUGGGAAAAAUGGCAACAGAGGCCUAAAACUCUGCAGAAAUGGCUGAUCUUAUAAUUUGUGAACUGUUAUUUAUGGUUGUUGGUGGAGCCCAUGGUAGUGAAGGAGAUGGCUCAGGGAGACAACAUUAAAGGCGAUAAGGAGAAAAACUAAUGAUCAAAUUCUAGUGAAUGAAAGGGAAGUAAGGAUAGUAAGUAUAAUAAUAGAGUUUCAAAUUAACAUUUAAUUUUAAAAUUAAUUAUAUGCUACUACUGUUUAUUAUUUAACCCUUCCCUUCCAAGUUAAUUUCAUUUACACUAUUCAUGAGGCUACACAGUUUAGUAAAGGGUCCAUUUAAGCAGGAUGAAUUUAACUCACUAAUUUCAGAAUGAAAGCAAAAGCUCUCUGCAUCUAUGCUGAAUUAUUUGACAUAAAUAGCUGUCUUGCUACAGAAAGCAAAUAGAGUACACUCUCCACUAUAAUUAGAAUUAACAUCAGAUACUCCUAGAAUCUUUCUUUGGCAAUAAAAUUCUUUUGCCU
RNAcentral lists this long non-coding RNA (1112 nucleotides) under Homo sapiens (human). RNAcentral's name for it is "non-protein coding ZFPM2-AS1:12". The record is from RNAcentral. Lineage: Eukaryota; Metazoa; Chordata; Mammalia; Primates; Hominidae.